This 78-nucleotide microRNA precursor is filed under the name Schistosoma margrebowiei. Its description in RNAcentral is "mir-3492 microRNA precursor family". It matches the Rfam family "mir-3492 microRNA precursor family". The record is from Rfam by way of RNAcentral. Lineage: Eukaryota; Metazoa; Platyhelminthes; Trematoda; Strigeidida; Schistosomatidae.
AGCUUUUCGAACCCGUACGGAGAUCUCGUCAGACACCGACCCACUGGGGCUGAUCAGACUUCCAAAAUAAGUGAAGUU